CCUACGGGAGGCAGCAGUGGGGAAUAUUGCGCAAUGGGCGGAAGCCUGACGCAGCGACGCCGCGUGAGUGAAGAAGGCCUUCGGGUUGUAAAGCUCUGUUGCAGGGGAAGAACGUUAUAUAUGCGAACAGCAUAUAUAAUUGACGGUACCCUGCGAGGAAGCCCCGGCUAACUACGUGCCAGCAGCCGCGGUAAU
RNAcentral lists this ribosomal RNA (195 nucleotides) under uncultured bacterium. RNAcentral's name for it is "partial 16S ribosomal RNA". It matches the Rfam family "Bacterial small subunit ribosomal RNA", at positions 338 to 524 of the family's 1533-position model. The record is from RNAcentral.